CCUACGGGACGCAGCAGUGGGGGAUAUUGCACAAUGGGGGAAACCCUGAUGCAGCGACGCCGCGUGGGUGAAGAAGCGCCUCGGCGCGUAAAGCCCUGUCAGCAGAGAAGAAAAUGACGGUACCUGAAGAAGAAGCCCCGGCUAACUACGUGCCAGCAGCCGCGGUAAUACGUAGGGGGCAAGCGUUAUCCGGAUUUACUGGGUGUAAAGGGGGCGCAGACGGCGAUGCAAGCCAGGAGUGAAAGCCCGGGGCCCAACCCCGGGACUGCUCUUGGCACUGCGUGGCUAGAGUGCAGGAGGGGCAG
RNAcentral lists this ribosomal RNA (305 nucleotides) under uncultured bacterium. RNAcentral's name for it is "bacterial SSU rRNA". It matches the Rfam family "Bacterial small subunit ribosomal RNA", at positions 338 to 660 of the family's 1533-position model. The record is from RNAcentral.